GAUGAAGAACGCAGCGAAAUGCGAUAAGUAAUGCGAAUUGCAGAAUUCAGUGAGUCAUCGAAUCUUUGAACGCACAUUGCGCCCUGUGGUAUUCCGCAGGGCAUGCCUGUUCGAGCGUCACUUCAACCCUCAAGCUCUGCUUGGUGUUGGGCCCUGCCCGCUGCGGCCGGCCCUAAAGACAGUGGCGGUGCCGCCUGGCCCUGAGCGUAGUACAUCUCUCGCUCCAGUGCCCGGUGGUAGCCUGCCAGAACCCCAACUCUCGUGGUUGACCUCGGAUCAGGUAGGGAUACCCGCUGAACUUAAGCAUAUCAAUAAGCGGAGGA
This 323-nucleotide unclassified non-coding RNA is filed under the name soil metagenome. RNAcentral's name for it is "partial contains 5.8S ribosomal RNA, internal transcribed spacer 2, and large subunit ribosomal RNA". The stretch from base 1 to 120 matches the Rfam family "5.8S ribosomal RNA", at positions 35 to 154 of the family's 154-position model. The record is from RNAcentral.